UAUAAUAGUUAAUUCUCUCUAUUGCUAUAGGAUCAUUGAAUUUUUCAUUGAGUUACAAGCAGGAUGUUAAAUUUGCGGAAACUGGAAUACGUAGCCUCGGAUUCAAGCUUUUUAUCAAUUGCGACUGUAAAGUGAAACUAAUCAGAUCGAGUUCUUUAAUAGUAGAAGAAGAAGAAGAAAAAAAAAAAGAAUGAGAAACAGGAAAAAUUUAUUCUGAAUUUCAAAGUAUUUGAUAAUGGAAGAAACAAGGAUUUAAAUCAUUAUUUGGUAUUUUUUAUAGCAUUAUAGCAUAUUAAUCUGAUAAAGUCUGCGGAUCUGAUUGCAACGAAGCAAUUAUUGUCAUGCGAAUGCAUUAUGAAGGAACUAGUCAAAAACUUUAUUAGAAUAUCUAAGCAUGAAAAGAGAAUUAUGACUUAUACAAAAUUAUGAAAAUGAUGGCCUCAAGAAUAUACAGAGAUAACAAAGUUAUCAUUUGAUGGCGAUCUACGAUGGGCAUAUACAUUAAAUAUUUUCAAA
This is a long non-coding RNA of Vespa velutina, 516 nucleotides long. RefSeq lists it as uncharacterized. The transcript has 2 exons. The record is from RefSeq and is a predicted model, not a curated record. NCBI's taxonomy places the organism in Eukaryota, Metazoa, Arthropoda, Insecta, Hymenoptera, Vespidae.